Molecule: small nuclear RNA, 107 nt
Organism: Bison bison bison
Lineage: Eukaryota; Metazoa; Chordata; Mammalia; Artiodactyla; Bovidae
Source: Ensembl
GUGCUCACUUUGGCAGCACAUGUAAUAACAUUGGAAUGAUGUAGAAAAGAUUAGCAUGGCCUUUAUUUAAGGAUGACAUGCAAAUUUAUGCAGCAUUCUAUAUUUUU